AUGUUAUAUGAAACAAGAAGAGGUUAGUGAUCCCCCUGAUGAGAAUGGAAGAGGUCUUAGUUGCCUUUACAUUACAUAUAUGGUGCCAUCCACUCUAUGGCAUGUAAUUAUGUUU
This 115-nucleotide non-coding RNA is filed under the name Vombatus ursinus (common wombat). The record is from RNAcentral. Lineage: Eukaryota; Metazoa; Chordata; Mammalia; Diprotodontia; Vombatidae.